CUACGGGUCGCUGCAGCUAAGAAUCUUCCGCAAUGGACGAAAGUCUGACGGAGCGACGCCGCGUGAACGAUGAAGGCCGUGAGGUUGUAAAGUUCUUUUCCGAGGGGAGAAUAAGGAUGGCAGGGAAUGGCCGUCUGAUGACGUGAACUCGGGAAUAAGCCCCGGCUAACUACGUGCCAGCAGCCGCGGUAACACGUAGGGGGCGAGCGGUGUUCGGAAUCAUUGGGCGUAAAGGGUGCGCAGGCGGUGACGCAAGUCUGGUGUGAAAGAUCUCGGCUCAACCGGGGGAACGCGCUGGAAACUGUGUCACUAGAGUACAGGAGGGGGAGUUGGAAUUCCAGGUGUAGGGGUGAAAUCUGUAGAUAUCUGGAAGAACACCGGUGGCGAAGGCGGACUUCUGGCCAUGUACUGACGCUGAGGCACGAAGGCGUGGGGAGCAAACAGGAUUAGAUACCCCAGUAGUC
This 464-nucleotide ribosomal RNA is filed under the name uncultured bacterium. RNAcentral's name for it is "partial 16S ribosomal RNA". It matches the Rfam family "Bacterial small subunit ribosomal RNA", at positions 339 to 795 of the family's 1533-position model. The record is from RNAcentral.